AAUGAACGCUAGCAGGGGGCCUAACACAUGCAAGUCGAACGGCACUUCGGUGCAGUGGCAGACGGGUGCGUAACACGUACUUACUUGCCCUAGAGUAGGGAACAACAUCUGAAAGGGUGCUAAUUCCUUAUAAUCCCUACGGGGGAAAGAUUUAUCGCUCUAGGAGAGGGGUGCGGCCUACUAGUUUGUUGGUGAGGUAAUGGCUCACCAAGACUAUGAUGGGUAGCUGAUCUGAGAGGAUGAUCAGCCACAAUGGAACUGAGACACGGUCCAUACCCCUACGGGGGGCAGCAGUGGGGAAUAUUGCACAAUGGACGAAAGUCUGAUGCAGCCACCCUGCGUGGAGGAUGAAGCAUUACGGUGUGUAAACUCCUUUUCUGGAGGAAGACGACUGACGGUACUCCAGGAAUAAGCGACGGCUAACUACG
This 428-nucleotide ribosomal RNA is filed under the name uncultured bacterium. RNAcentral describes it as "bacterial SSU rRNA". It matches the Rfam family "Bacterial small subunit ribosomal RNA", at positions 29 to 505 of the family's 1533-position model. The record is from RNAcentral.